AACGAACGCUGGCGGCAUGCCUAACACAUGCAAGUCGAACGAUCCCUUCGGGGAUAGUGGCGCACGGGUGCGUAACGCGUGGGAACCUGCCCUUAGGUUCGGAAUAACUCAGAGAAAUUUGAGCUAAUACCGGAUAAUGUCUUCGGACCAAAGAUUUAUCGCCUUUGGAUGUGCCGGCGUUGGAUUAGCUAGUUGGUGGGGUAAAGGCCUACCAAGGCGACGAUCCAUAGCUGGUCUGAGAGGAUGGUCAGCCACACUGGGACUGAGACACGGCCCAGACUCCUACGGGAGGCAGCAGUGGGGAAUAUUGGACAAUGGGCGAAAGCCUGAUCCAGCAAUGCCGCGUGAGUGAUGAAGGCCUUAGGGUUGUAAAGCGCUUUUACCCGGGAUGAUAAUGACAGUACCGAGAGAAUAAGCCCCGGCUAACUCCGUG
Molecule: ribosomal RNA, 433 nt
Filed under: uncultured bacterium
Lineage: Bacteria
Description: partial 16S ribosomal RNA
Rfam family: Bacterial small subunit ribosomal RNA
Source: RNAcentral